RNAcentral lists this ribosomal RNA (440 nucleotides) under uncultured bacterium. RNAcentral describes it as "partial 16S ribosomal RNA". It matches the Rfam family "Bacterial small subunit ribosomal RNA", at positions 338 to 795 of the family's 1533-position model. The record is from RNAcentral.
CCUACGGGAGGCAGCAGUGGGGAAUAUUGCACAAUGGGGGAAACCCUGAUGCAGCGACGCCGCGUGAGUGAAGAAGUACUUCGUUAUGUAAAGCUCUAUCAGCAGGGAAGAAAAUGACGGUACCUGUGCCAUAAGCCACGGCUAACUUCGUUCCAGCAGCCGCGGUAAUACGGAGGGGGCAAGCGUUAUCCGGAUUUACUGGGUGUAAAGGGAGCGUAGACGGCAGUGCAAGUCUGGAGUGAAAGGCGGGGGCUCAACCCCCGGACUGCACUGGAAACUGUAAGGCUGGAGUGCAGGAGAGGUAAGUGGAAUUCCUGGUGUAGCGGUGAAAUGCGUAGAUAUUAGGAGGAACACCAGUGGCGAAGGCAGCUUACUGGACUGUAACUGACGUUGAGGCUCGAAAGCGUGGGGAGCAAACAGGAUUAGAUACCCCUGUAGUC